UUGGAGGGCAAGUCUGGUGCCAGCAGCCGCGGUAAUUCCAGCUCCAAUAGCGUAUAUUAAAGUUGUUGCAGUUAAAAAGCUCGUAGUUGAAUUUCGAGAUCAAAUUGUUGGUCGUGCCUCGGUACGCACUGGCAUUAUUGAUUUCUCCCUUCUGACGAUCCGCGAUGUCAUUAAUUUGGUGUCGCGGGGAAUCAGGACUGUUACUUUGAAAAAAUUAGAGUGUUUAAAGCAGGCUCACGCUUGAAUACAUUAGCAUGGAAUAAUGAAAUAGGACGUUUGAUUCUAUUUUGUUGGUUUCUAGGAUCGACGUAAUGAUUAAUAGGGAUAGUUGGGGGCAUUAGUAUUCAAUUGUCAGAGGUGAAAUUCUUGGAUUUAUUGAAGACUAACUACUGCGAAAGCAUUUGCCAAGGAUGUUUUCAUUAAUCAAGAACGAAAGUUAGGGGAUCGAAGACGAUCAGAUACCGUCGUAGUCUUAACCAUAAACUAUGCCGACUAGGGAUCGGAUGAUGUUAAUUUUUUAAUGACUCAUUCGGCGCCUUACGGGAAAC
RNAcentral lists this ribosomal RNA (548 nucleotides) under uncultured Glomus. Its description in RNAcentral is "SSU rRNA". It matches the Rfam family "Eukaryotic small subunit ribosomal RNA", at positions 548 to 1098 of the family's 1831-position model. The record is from RNAcentral. Lineage: Eukaryota; Fungi; Glomeromycota; Glomeromycetes; Glomerales; Glomeraceae.